Molecule: ribosomal RNA, 2249 nt
Filed under: microbial mat metagenome
Description: bacterial LSU rRNA
Rfam family: Bacterial large subunit ribosomal RNA
Source: RNAcentral
CAGUCGCUGGAUAUAGACCCGAAACCGAGCGAUCUAUCCAUGAGCAGGGUGAAGGUUGAGUAACAUCAACUGGAGGCCCGAACCAGGAUCUGUUGAAAAAGAUUUGGAUGACUUGUGGAUCGGAGUGAAAGGCUAAUCAAGCUCGGAGAUAGCUGGUUCUCCUCGAAAGCUAUUUAGGUAGCGCCUCACGUAGUACCGCCGGGGGUAGAGCACUGUUUCGGCUAGGGGGUCAUCCCGACUUACCAACCCGAGGCAAACUCCGAAUACCGGUGAGUAACGCGUGGGAGACACACGGCGGGUGCUAACGUCCGUCGUGAAAAGGGAAACAACCCAGACCGUCAGCUAAGGUCCCGAAAUCCUGGUUAAGUGGGAAACGAUGUGGGAAGGCUCAGACAGCUAGGAGGUUGGCUUAGAAGCAGCCAUCCUUUAAAGAAAGCGUAAUAGCUCACUAGUCGAGUCGGCCUGCGCGGAAGAUGUAACGGGGCUAAACCAGGUACCGAAGCUACGGGUUCAUUCUUUGAAUGAGCGGUAGAGGAGCGUCGUGUAAGCCGAUGAAGGUGGAUUGAGAAGUCUGCUGGAGGUAUCACGAGUGCGAAUGCUGACAUGAGUAACGAUAAAGGGAGUGAAAAACUCCCUCGCCGGAAGACCAAGGGUUUCUGUUCGACGCUAAUCGGAGCAGAGUGAGUCGGCCCCUAAGGCGAGGCCGAAAGGCGUAGUCGAUGGGAAACGGGUCAAUAUUCCCGUACCGGACAUGGUUGCGAUGGGGGGACGAAGAAGGCUAGGUGAGCCAGGCGUUGGUUGUCCUGGUGAAAGUGAGUAGGCUGAGAGUUUAGGUAAAUCCGGACUCUUUUAAGGCCGAGACACGAGAUGAACUGACCACGGUCAGGAAGUCACUGAUGCCACGCUUCCAGGAAAAGCCUCUAAGCUUCAGAUCAUGUGCGACCGUACCCCAAACCGACACAGGUGGUCAGGGUGAGAAUCCCAAGGCGCUUGAGAGAACUCGGGUGAAGGAACUAGGCAAAAUGGUGCCGUAACUUCGGGAGAAGGCACGCCGGCGUAGGGUGAAGAGACUUGCUCUCCUAGCCCGAACCGGUCGAAGAUACCAGGUGGCUGCAACUGUUUAUUAAAAACACAGCACUCUGCUAACGCGCAAGCGGACGUAUAGGGUGUGACGCCUGCCCGGUGCCGGAAGGUUAAAUGAUGGUGUUAGCCGCAAGGCGAAGCUCUUGAUUGAAGCCCCGGUAAACGGCGGCCGUAACUAUAACGGUCCUAAGGUAGCGAAAUUCCUUGUCGGGUAAGUUCCGACCUGCACGAAUGGCGUAAUGAUGGCCACGCUGUCUCCACCCGAGACUCAGUGAAAUUGAAAUCGCCGUGAAGAUGCGGUGUACCCGCGGCUAGACGGAAAGACCCCGUGAACCUUUACUAUAGCUUCACACUGGACGCUGAUGUUGCCUGUGUAGGAUAGCUGGGAGGCUUUGAAACUCGGACGCCAGUUCGGGCGGAGCCAACCUUGAAAUACCAGCCUGGCAUCAUUGGCGUUCUCACUCAGGUCCGUUAUCCGGAUCGAGGACAGUGUGUGGUGGGUAGUUUGACUGGGGCGGUCUCCUCCUAAAGAGUAACGGAGGAGCACGAAGGUACCCUCAGCACGGUCGGACAUCGUGCAUUGAGUGCAAGAGCAUAAGGGUGCUUGACUGCGAGACAGACACGUCGAGCAGGUGCGAAAGCAGGUUCUAGUGAUCCGGUGGUUCUGUAUGGAAGGGCCAUCGCUCAACGGAUAAAAGGUACUCCGGGGAUAACAGGCUGAUACCGCCCAAGAGUUCACAUCGACGGCGGUGUUUGGCACCUCGAUGUCGGCUCAUCACAUCCUGGGGCUGAAGUCGGUCCCAAGGGUAUGGCUGUUCGCCAUUUAAAGUGGUACGCGAGCUGGGUUUAGAACGUCGUGAGACAGUUCGGUCCCUAUCUGCCGUGGGCGUUGGAUGUUUGAGAAGGGCUGCUCCUAGUACGAGAGGACCGGAGUGGACGACCCUCUGGUGUUCCGGUUGUCACGCCAGUGGCAUUGCCGGGUAGCUAUGGUCGGACGGGAUAACCGCUGAAAGCAUCUAAGCGGGAAGCCCCCUUCAAGAUGAGACAUCCCUGAGGCCUAGAGCCUCCUGAAGGGCCCAGCGAGACCAGCUGGUUGAUAGGCACGGUGUGGAAGCGCUGCAAGGCGUUGAGCUAACGUGUACUAAUGGCCCGUGAGGCUUGACCCU